CCUACGGGUGGCAGCAGUGAGGAAUAUUGGUCAAUGGGCGAGAGCCUGAACCAGCCAAGCCGCGUGAGGGAGUACUGCCCUAGGGGGUGUAAACCCCUUUUGGCGGGGAGAAAAAGCCGGACGUGUGCGGAGGUGAGAGUACCGGAAGAAAAAGCAUCGGCUAACUCCGUGCCAGCAGCCGCGGUAAUACGGGGGAUGCGAGCGUUAUCCGGAUUUAUUGGGUUAAAGGGGUGCGCAGGCGGAUUUUUAAGUCAGCGGUAAAAUCGCGGGGCUCAACCCCAUCCAGUCGUUGAAACUGGGGAUCUAGAGUGUGCGAGAGGUAUGCGGAAUGCGUGGUGUAGCGGUGAAAUGCAUAGAUAUCACGCAGAACCCCGAUUGCGAAGGC
RNAcentral lists this ribosomal RNA (385 nucleotides) under uncultured bacterium. Its description in RNAcentral is "partial 16S ribosomal RNA". It matches the Rfam family "Bacterial small subunit ribosomal RNA", at positions 338 to 722 of the family's 1533-position model. The record is from RNAcentral.